Molecule: ribosomal RNA, 596 nt
Filed under: uncultured bacterium
Lineage: Bacteria
Description: bacterial SSU rRNA
Rfam family: Bacterial small subunit ribosomal RNA
Source: RNAcentral
GAACGCUGGCGGCAGGCCUAACACAUGCAAGUCGAGCGGUAGAGAGAAGCUUGCUUCUCUUGAGAGCGGCGGACGGGUGAGUAAUGCCUAGGAAUCUGCCUGGUAGUGGGGGAUAACGUUCGGAAACGGACGCUAAUACCGCAUACGUCCUACGGGAGAAAGCAGGGGACCUUCGGGCCUUGCGCUAUCAGAUGAGCCUAGGUCGGAUUAGCUAGUUGGUGAGGUAAUGGCUCACCAAGGCGACGAUCCGUAACUGGUCUGAGAGGAUGAUCAGUCACACUGGAACUGAGACACGGUCCAGACUCCUACGGGAGGCAGCAGUGGGGAAUAUUGGACAAUGGGCGAAAGCCUGAUCCAGCCAUGCCGCGUGUGUGAAGAAGGUCUUCGGAUUGUAAAGCACUUUAAGUUGGGAGGAAGGGCAGUUACCUAAUACGUGAUUGUUUUGACGUUACCGACAGAAUAAGCACCGGCUAACUCUGUGCCAGCAGCCGCGGUAAUACAGAGGGUGCAAGCGUUAAUCGGAAUUACUGGGCGUAAAGCGCACGUAGGUGGUUAGUUAGGUUGGAUGUGAAAUCCCUGGGCUCAACCUGGGAACU